AGAGUUUGAUCCUGGCUCAGGAUGAACGCUAGCUACAGGCUUAACACAUGCAAGUCGAGGGGCAGCAUGUUGGUUGCUUGCAACCAAUGAUGGCGACCGGCGCACGGGUGAGUAACGCGUAUCCAACCUUCCCCUUAGUAGAGGAUAGCCCGGCGAAAGUCGGAUUAAUACUCUAUGUUGUAUUUUGAUGACAUCUGACGAAUACCAAAGAUUUAUCGCUAAGGGAUGGGGAUGCGUCUGAUUAGGUUGCAGGCGGGGUAACGGCCCACCUGGCCUACGAUCAGUAGGGGUUCUGAGAGGAAGGUCCCCCACACUGGUACUGAGACACGGACCAGACUCCUACGGGAGGCAGCAGUGAGGAAUAUUGGUCAAUGGGCGCGAGCCUGAACCAGCCAAGUAGCGUGCAGGACGACUGCCCUAUGGGUUGUAAACUGCUUUUAUCAGGGAAUAAAGUGGGGCACGCGUGCCUUUUUGUAUGUACCUGAUGAAUAAGGACCGGCUAAUUCCGUGCCAGCAGCCGCGGUAAUACGGAAGGUCCGGGCGUUAUCCGGAUUUAUUGGGUUUAAAGGGAGCGCAGGCGGGCUUUUAAGCGUGACGUGAAAUGUGGCGGCUCAACCGCCGAACUGCGUCGCGAACUGGGGGCCUUGAGUGAGUACGACGUUGGCGGAAUUCGUGGUGUAGCGGUGAAAUGCUUAGAUAUCACGAAGAACCCCGAUUGCGAAGGCAGCCGACGAGUCCUUAACUGACGCUAAAGCUCGAAAGUGCGGGUAUCGAACAGGAUUAGAUACCCUGGUAGUCCACGCGGUAAACGAUGAAUACUGGUUAUCCGGCGCAUUGGGCGUUGGGUGACUCAAGCGAAAGCAUUAAGUAUUCCACCUGGGGAGUACGCCGGCAACGGUGAAACUCAAAGGAAUUGACGGGGGCCCGCACAAGCGGAGGAACAUGUGGUUUAAUUCGAUGAUACGCGAGGAACCUUACCCGGGCUCAAACGCAUGCGGACAGCCGCGGAAACGCGGUCUCCCUCCGGGGCUGCAUGCGAGGUGCUGCAUGGUUGUCGUCAGCUCGUGCCGUGAGGUGUCGGCUUAAGUGCCAUAACGAGCGCAACCCCCAUCUCCAGUUGCCAUCGCGUGGUGGCGGGCACUCUGGAGAGACUGCCGGCGCAAGCUGUGAGGAAGGCGGGGAUGACGUCAAAUCAGCACGGCCCUUAUGUCCGGGGCGACACACGUGUUACAAUGGCGGGGCACAGCAGGAAGCCAGGCGGCGACGCCGAGCCGAUCCCUAAAACCCGUCUCAGUUCGGAUCGGAGUCUGCAACCCGACUCCGUGAAGCUGGAUUCGCUAGUAAUCGCGCAUCAGCCAUGGCGCGGUGAAUACGUUCCCGGGCCUUGUACACACCGCCCGUCAAGCCAUGGAAGCUUGGAGUGCCUGAAGUGCGUGACCGCGAGGAGCGCCCAAGGGUAAGACAAGUGACUGGGGCUAAGUCGUAACAAGGUA
RNAcentral lists this ribosomal RNA (1493 nucleotides) under uncultured rumen bacterium. RNAcentral's name for it is "bacterial SSU rRNA". It matches the Rfam family "Bacterial small subunit ribosomal RNA". The record is from RNAcentral.